CCUACGGGAGGCAGCAGUGGGGAAUAUUGGGCAAUGGACGCAACUCUGACCCAGCAAUGCCGCGUGAAUGAAGACGGUCUUCGGAUUGUAAAACUCUUUUAUCAGGGACGAAGAAGAUGACGGUACCUGGGGAAUAAGCCACGGCAAACUAGGUGCCAGCAGCCGAGGUAAUACAUAGGUGGCACGCGUUGUCCGGAAUGACUGGGGGUACAGGGAGCGUUGGCGGUCUGGUAAGUGGGAAUUGAAAUCCCGGGGCGCAACCCCGGAACUGCUUUCAAGACUGACGGACUUGAGUGUAAGAGGGGUAAGCGGAAUGCCUAGUGUAGCGGUGGAAUGCGUAGAUAUUAGGAGGAACACCAGUGGCGAAGGCGGCUUACUGGAUUAUAACUGACGCUGAGGCUCGAAAGCGUGGGUAUCGAACAGGAUUAGAUACCCGAGUAGUC
RNAcentral lists this ribosomal RNA (443 nucleotides) under uncultured bacterium. Its description in RNAcentral is "partial 16S ribosomal RNA". It matches the Rfam family "Bacterial small subunit ribosomal RNA", at positions 338 to 795 of the family's 1533-position model. The record is from RNAcentral.